CAGAAAAUAGUUUAUUAAAAAUUCUAAUUUUGGGGAUUAGGGAUAAGGGUAAUUCCUUUUUUCUGA
This 66-nucleotide transfer RNA is filed under the name Leptalpheus forceps. RNAcentral's name for it is "tRNA-Pro". The record is from RNAcentral. Lineage: Eukaryota; Metazoa; Arthropoda; Malacostraca; Decapoda; Alpheidae.